This 453-nucleotide ribosomal RNA is filed under the name Triticum aestivum (bread wheat). Its description in RNAcentral is "partial small subunit ribosomal RNA". The record is from RNAcentral. Lineage: Eukaryota; Viridiplantae; Streptophyta; Magnoliopsida; Poales; Poaceae.
AUGGCCUGGGAUUGCCUCCCGCAGGCCAUCACCAACACAGUCUGCAUCGGCGCCAUGGUCAUGAUGGUCGGCGCGUUCGUUCAGCUGGCGCGGGAGCCCCACAGCAAGGGCUCCAUCGCGACCUCCGUCUACCUCCUCUUCUCGAUCAGCCUCACGGCCGGCUUGUACACGGUCUCCUGUCGCGCCUUCUUCCAGCGGUCGGCGUUGCGUUGGUGCUUGGCCUCCGCCACCGGGGCACUCCGUGGCGCGGGUUGGCUUCUCUGCCUGCCAUGCCGGAGCGCGUGCGCCCGCCGAAACAUAGGCAGCGGCGGCAGCGCUCUGCCGCAGUUUCUGGACCAGGCACCGAGUCACAUGCCCGCGCCGGCCCGGGAGCCACCGGUGCAUGGUGGCACACGGGUGGUGACGGCGUAUGGCAUCCCGGCGUACGAGCAGCCGGAGGACGGCGGUGGGUGA